RNAcentral lists this long non-coding RNA (375 nucleotides) under Salvia miltiorrhiza (redroot sage). Its description in RNAcentral is "long non-coding RNA (SMIL_LNC011147)". Lineage: Eukaryota; Viridiplantae; Streptophyta; Magnoliopsida; Lamiales; Lamiaceae. The record is from RNAcentral.
UUCGUAUUUGUGUGUAUUUCUUGAAAUUAAAUUUUGUGAUAUGGGGGUCUUAUAUUCCUUCAUAUUUUUAUGAUUGUUUAAGUGAAACUUUAAUUGUGUGUAGAGUGAAGUAUAUAUAUAUAUAUGUCUUAUUUCUUUCAUUUUUUAGGUGAUUAAUUGAAAAAUAUACUUGUGCGUGUGUGUACGCCUAUGAAAUGCUUAAUUAUUUCUUUUCAUAUUUAUCUGAUUCUUGAAAUUAAACCAUUUUUAUUAUAAUAUUCAAAUCUAAUAAUUUAUAAUAAUUUUCAUUAUUAAUUUGAUGAAUUUUGUGCAACGAAUAGUACCCGGUCCAUUUCACUACACAUGUUGAUUCUAUUGUAGAAACAUAUAGAAGAA